This 217-nucleotide long non-coding RNA is filed under the name Carica papaya (papaya). Its description in RNAcentral is "long non-coding RNA (CPAP_LNC011307)". Lineage: Eukaryota; Viridiplantae; Streptophyta; Magnoliopsida; Brassicales; Caricaceae. The record is from RNAcentral.
UUAUUUGGAUUUAAUUGAAAUUGAUUUUGGGAAAAAGGAGUGAAAAUUUGGAUUCUGGGGGUAUUUUUGAAAAGAAAAUCGGAAACCGGUGGUCAAAACUCAAUUUAAAAAAUUGCGCCCCGUCAGCGCCACGUCAGCAGCCCUGGCCAACCAGGACCUGCCGCGUGGCAAGACCACGUUGACCCGGGAACGGGCCACGCGGGCGAUUCGCGUGCGC